Molecule: ribosomal RNA, 583 nt
Filed under: uncultured bacterium
Lineage: Bacteria
Description: partial 16S ribosomal RNA
Rfam family: Bacterial small subunit ribosomal RNA
Source: RNAcentral
UGGGGAAUUUUGGACAAUGGGCGAAAGCCUGAUCCAGCAAUGCCGCGUGUGUGAAGAAGGCCUUCGGGUUGUAAAGCACUUUUGUCCGGAAAGAAAUCCUUGGCUCUAAUACAGUCGGGGGAUGACGGUACCGGAAGAAUAAGCACCGGCUAACUACGUGCCAGCAGCCGCGGUAAUACGUAGGGUGCAAGCGUUAAUCGGAAUUACUGGGCGUAAAGCGUGCGCAGGCGGUUUGCUAAGACCGAUGUGAAAUCCCCGGGCGUCAACCUGGGAACUGCAUUGGUGACUGGCAGGCUAGAGUAUGGCAGAGGGGGGUAGAAUUCCACGUGUAGCAGUGAAAUACGUAGAGAUGUGGAGGAAUACCGAUGGCGAAGGCAGCCCCCUGGCCAAGUACUGACGCUCAUGCACGAAAGCGUGGGGAGCAAACNGGAUUAAUACCCUGGUAGUCCACGCCCUAAAACGAUGUCAACUAGUUGUUGGGGAUUCAUUUCCUUAGUAACGUAGCUAACGCGUGAAGUUGACCGCCUGGGGAGUACGGUCGCAAGAUUAAAACUCAAAGAAUUGACGGGGUCAGCUGUUUCCU